This 164-nucleotide ribosomal RNA is filed under the name uncultured bacterium. RNAcentral's name for it is "partial 16S rRNA". It matches the Rfam family "Bacterial small subunit ribosomal RNA", at positions 355 to 511 of the family's 1533-position model. The record is from RNAcentral.
UAGGGAAUCUUCCACAAUGGACAAAAGUCUGAUGGAGCAACGCCGCGUGAGUGAAGAAGGGUUUCGGCUCGUAAAACUCUGUUGUUAAAGAAGAACAUAUCUGAGAGUAACUGUUCAGGUAUUGACGGUAUUUAACCAGAAAGCCACGGCUAACUACGUGCCCG